UGUUCUUGAAACCCAAAGAAUUUGGCGGUGUUUUAGUCUAUUUAGAGGAAUUUGCCCCUUUAUCGAUAACCCCCGUUUUAUCUUACUUAUUUUGUUUUAGUUUGUAUAUCGCCGUUAUAAGUUUAUUUUUUAAGAAUUUUAAUUUACUUAGAAUUUUAUUUUAUAUUAUUUCAGGUCAAGGUGCAGUUUAUAUUUAAGUGGUGGUGCAUUACAAUAUUAUUUAUAUAAACGGAUUUUUAUUUUAAAAUUUAAUUGAAGGUGGAUUUAAUAGUAAUUUUAAUUAUAGUGUUAAUUUGACUUUAGCUCUAAAAUAAGUACACAUCGCCCGUCGCU
RNAcentral lists this ribosomal RNA (333 nucleotides) under Orestes mouhotii. RNAcentral describes it as "partial 12S ribosomal RNA". The record is from RNAcentral. Lineage: Eukaryota; Metazoa; Arthropoda; Insecta; Phasmatodea; Heteropterygidae.